GGGGGCCCACCUCUGCCUCCAGAGUCACUGGAAGAGGCUGGACCUUUAGCAAUUCAACAGGAGACUUCAGUUCAAUCUCCGGAACCUGUUAAUAGUGAGAACCCCUCUCCAACCCAGCAGGAGGCUGAAGCUGAGCAUCCACAGACCGCUGAGGAGGGUGAGUCUUCUCUAACCCAGCAGGAGGCCCCAGCUCAGACUCCAGAGCUCCCUAACGUAGUUGUAGCUCAACUUCCAGAGCAGUCAAACCUGAAUCAAGCCACAGUUCAACCUUUGGACCUGGGGCUUACCAUCACUCCAGAAACCACUAUGGAGGUUGGACAUUCUGUAUCUCUGAAGAAGACUUUCGUUCUUCCAAAGCAACUUAAGGUGACACUUCCACAUCCAGACCAGGUUCGGACUCAUCAUUCACACCUGACUCAAGCCACAGUUCAACCUUUGGACCUGGGGUUUACCAGCACUCCAGAAUCCACAACAGAGGUUGAACUUUCUCCAACCGUGCAGGAGACCCCAACUCAGCCUCCUAAGAAAGUUGUACCCCAACUUCGAGUAUAUCAAGAGGUAGCAAUUCCAACACCAGGUCAGAAUGAAGCUCAGCAUCCAAUGUCACCCAGCGUCACAGUUCAACCUUUGGACCUGGGACUUACCAUCCCUCCAACCACUAUGGAGGUUGUACCUUCUACAGCCCUGAAGAAGACUGUAGCUCCUCCAGAGCAUCCUAAGGUGACACUUCCACAUCCAGACCAGGUUCAGACUCAGUAUUCACACCUGACUCAAGCCACAGUUCCACCUUUGGACCUGGGGCUUACCAACACUCCAGAAUCCACGACAGAGUUCAAACCUUCUACAGCCCUGACGACUACAGCUCCUCCUCCAGAACACCCUGAGGUGACACUUUCACCUUCAGACAAAGGUCAGACUCAGCAUUCACACCUGACUCAAGCCACAUUUCAACCUUCGGACCUGGGACUUACCAUCACUUUAGAACCCCCUACGGAGGUUGGACAUUCUACAACCCUGAAGCCGACUGUAGUUCCUCCAAAGCAUCCUAAGGUGACACUUCCACAUCCAGACCAGGUUCAGACUCUGCAUCGAAAACUGACUGAAGUCAGAAAUCCAAGUACUGAACUAGAACCUACUCAAGAUUCAUUGGUUCAGUCUGAAAGUCACGCCCCAAAUAAGACUUCAGCUGCAUCAGAGGAACAGAAGGCCUCCACAAGCACCAACAUAUGUGAGCUCUGUACCUGUGGAAAUGAUACGCUGUCAUGUAUUGAUCUCAGCCCAAAGCAGAGGCUCCGCCAAGUUCCUGUGCCAGAGCCCAACACCUACAAUGGCACCUUCACCAUCUUGUAAGGAUCACCUUUCCCCAAUUGUCCUCUGUGUCCUGCCUGAUGUGGCAGCCUUCCUGGGCUUUCUUUAUCUCCCCAAGCCAUACUGACAACUGACUUUCUGCGUUCACCUUUGCUUGUCAAUUCUCCUUUCUCCUCAUUCUCCUUUAAUGUUAGGCCCCUUCUCCAGUCUUUUACUUUUACUCUAGCCUUUUACUCGUUUUCUCAUCCAUUUUUAUUUAGCUCCAUCAUAUCAUUGCUUAACCGCUGCUCUCCUCCCAUUUUUGUUUCACCCUCUUUACGAUCUCAGUGAUGAGGCUCUAGGUAGUUAAGAGUUGAUUCCAGAGCCAGGCUGCCUUGGGUUGAACCCAGGUCUGUUUAUUAGCUUGGUGACCCAGAGCAAGUUAUUCUGCUCUGUGACUCAAUUUCCUCACCUUUCAACUGGGGAUUAUGCCAGUUACCAUUUCAUAGGAUUGUUGUGAAAUUUAGGUGAGUGAAUAUAUGAAACACUUCAUCAGUGCCUAGCCUAUGUAGGAGUGUUUGCUGUUAACAUGAUUACUCGAGUCCUUUAGUUUUGUGCAGAACUCAUCGUUGUCCCUAGCUUUCUAUGUGUAGCACUCGUUUUGUGUCAAACCCAGGGUCAAGUAUGCUACUGUCUCCAGAACAUGAAAAUGAUAGGAGGGAAGAAAGAGAAUAGGCAUAAAAAGGGAGGUAUAUAUAAUUAAGUACUAAAAGAUAAUGCAGACCAUAGGUGCUAGAAUUUGCCAGAAUCUGUGAUCCUUGAGGUGUGGAGAUCAGGGAAAGCUACAUGGAUAAGCUAAAAUUUUACUUGGAUCUUAAAGAAUAACUAUAAUUUGUUAAA
Piliocolobus tephrosceles (Ugandan red Colobus) is the source of this 2187-nucleotide RNA transcript. It is a transcript of the gene named leucine-rich repeat-containing protein 37A3 pseudogene, with no coding region annotated. Lineage: Eukaryota; Metazoa; Chordata; Mammalia; Primates; Cercopithecidae. The transcript has a single exon. The record is from RefSeq and is a predicted model, not a curated record.